This 460-nucleotide ribosomal RNA is filed under the name uncultured bacterium. Its description in RNAcentral is "bacterial SSU rRNA". It matches the Rfam family "Bacterial small subunit ribosomal RNA", at positions 28 to 473 of the family's 1533-position model. The record is from RNAcentral.
GACGAACGCUGGCGGUGUGCUUAACACAUGCAAGUGGUGCGACGAACCAGAGCUUGCUCUGGGGCAAAGCCGCGAACGGGUGAGUAACACGUGGGUAAUCUACCCCGAUGACCGGGACAACCCGAGGAAACUCGGGCUAAUACCGGAUGUGGUACGGAGACAUAAGUCUCUUUACUAAAGGUAGCUUCGGCUUCCGCAUUGGGAGGGGCCCGCGGCCCAUUAGCUAGUUGGUGGGGUCAAGGCCUACCAAGGGCAACGAUGGGUAGCUGGUCUGAGAGGACGAUCAGCCACACUGGGACUGAGACACGGCCCAGACUCCUACGGGAGGCAGCAGUGGGAAUCUUGCGCAAUGCGCGAAAGCGUGACGCAGCAACACCGCGUGAGGGAAGACGGCCUUAGGGUUGUAAACCUCUUUCUAGAUGGGACGAAGGUGAUGCGGUGAAUAGCCGAUGUCAUUGAC